CCGGUGGCGGAUGGGCAUGCGGCGCAUUAGCUAGACGGCGGGGUGACGGCCCACCGUGGCGACGAUGCGUAGGGGUUCUGAGAGGAAGGCCCCCCACACUGGGACUGAGACACGGCCCAGACUCCUACGGGAGGCAGCAGUGAGGAAUAUUGGUCAAUGGGCGGAAGCCUGAACCAGCCAAGUCGCGUGAGGGAUUAAGGCCCUGCGGGUCGUAAACCUCUUUUGCCGGGGAGCAGUGGUCCGGACGCGUCCGGGCCGGGAGAGUACCCGGAGAAAAAGCAUCGGCUAACUCCGUGCCAGCAGCCGCGGUAAUACGGAGGAUGCGAGCGUUAUCCGGAUUUAUUGGGUUUAAAGGGUGCGUAGGCGGGCAUUUAAGCCGGCGGUCAAAUGUCGGGGCUCAACCCCGGCCUGCCGUCGGAACUGGGUGCCUUGAGUGGGCGAGAAGUAUGCGGAAUGCGUGGUGUAGCGGUGAAAUGCAUAGAUAUCACGCAGAACCCCGAUUGCGAAGGCAGCAUACCGGCGCCCUACUGACGCUGAGGCACGAAAGUGCGGGUAUCGAACAGGAUUAGAUACCCUGGUAGUCCGCACAGUAAACGAUGGAUGCUAUCUGUCCGGGCCGAAUGAGGCCUGGGUGGC
Molecule: ribosomal RNA, 636 nt
Filed under: uncultured bacterium
Lineage: Bacteria
Description: bacterial SSU rRNA
Rfam family: Bacterial small subunit ribosomal RNA
Source: RNAcentral